AACGAACGCUGGCGGCAUGCCUAACACAUGCAAGUCGAACGAGACCUUCGGGUCUAGUGGCGCACGGGUGCGUAACGCGUGGGAACCUGCCCUUAGGUUCGGAAUAACUCCCCGAAUGGGGUGCUAAUACCGGAUAAUGUCUUCGGACCAAAGAUUUAUCGCCUUUGGAUGGGCCCGCGUUGGAUUAGCUAGUUGGUAGGGUAAAAGCCUACCAAGGCGACGAUCCAUAGCUGGUCUGAGAGGAUGAUCAGCCACACUGGGACUGAGACACGGCCCAGACUCCUACGGGAGGCAGCAGUGGGGAAUAUUGGACAAUGGGCGAAAGCCUGAUCCAGCAAUGACGCGUGAGUGAUGAAGGCCUUAGGGUUGUAAAGCUCUUUUACCCGGGAUGAUAAUGACAGUACCGGGAGAAUAAGCUCCGGCUAACUCCGUG
RNAcentral lists this ribosomal RNA (433 nucleotides) under uncultured bacterium. Its description in RNAcentral is "partial 16S ribosomal RNA". It matches the Rfam family "Bacterial small subunit ribosomal RNA", at positions 29 to 507 of the family's 1533-position model. The record is from RNAcentral.